ACGCUGGCGGCAGGCCUAACACAUGCAAGUCGAGCGGUAGCACAGGAGAGCUUGCUCUCUGGGUGACGAGCGGCGGACGGGUGAGUAAUGUCUGGGGAACUGCCUGAUGGAGGGGGAUAACUACUGGAAACGGUAGCUAAUACCGCAUGACCUCGCAAGAGCAAAGUGGGGGACCUUCGGGCCUCACGCCAUCGGAUGUGCCCAGAUGGGAUUAGCUAGUAGGUGGGGUAAUGGCUCACCUAGGCGACGAUCCCUAGCUGGUCUGAGAGGAUGACCAGCCACACUGGAACUGAGACACGGUCCAGACUCCUACGGGAGGCAGCAGUGGGGAAUAUUGCACAAUGGGCGCAAGCCUGAUGCAGCCAUGCCGCGUGUGUGAAGAAGGCCUUAGGGUUGUAAAGCACUUUCAGCGAGGAGGAAGGCGCUGUAGUUAAUAGCUGCAGCGAUUGACGUUACUCGCAGAAGAAGCACCGGCUAACUCUGUGCCAGCAGCCGCGGUAAUACGGAGGGUGCAAUCGUUAAUCGGAAUUACUGGGCGUAAAGCGCACGCAGGCGGUUUGUUAAGUCAGAUGUGAAAUCCCCGAGCUUAACUUGGGAACUGCAUUUGAAACUGCCAAGCUAGAGUCUUGUAGAGGGGGGUAGAAUUCCAGGUGUAGCGGUGAAAUGCGUAGAGAUCUGGAGGAAUACCGGUGGCGAAGGCGGCCCCCUGACAAAGACUGACGCUCAGGUGCGAAAGCGUGGGGAGCAAAC
Molecule: ribosomal RNA, 750 nt
Filed under: uncultured bacterium
Lineage: Bacteria
Description: bacterial SSU rRNA
Rfam family: Bacterial small subunit ribosomal RNA
Source: RNAcentral